RNAcentral lists this transfer RNA (70 nucleotides) under Chlamyphorus truncatus (Pink fairy armadillo). RNAcentral's name for it is "tRNA-Gly". It matches the Rfam family "tRNA". From Rfam's summary of the family: Transfer RNA (tRNA) molecules are approximately 80 nucleotides in length. The record is from RNAcentral. Lineage: Eukaryota; Metazoa; Chordata; Mammalia; Cingulata; Chlamyphoridae.
GUUCUCUUAGUAUUGACCAGUACAGUUGACUUCCAAUCAACUAGCUUCGGUCCAAACCCGAAAUAGAACA